Molecule: ribosomal RNA, 954 nt
Filed under: Streptomyces sp. RE 1-1-27
Lineage: Bacteria; Bacillati; Actinomycetota; Actinomycetes; Kitasatosporales; Streptomycetaceae
Description: partial 16S ribosomal RNA
Source: RNAcentral
UUCCCUCGGGCUGGCUUCGCGUGCUGCUCGCGCGGGCGGGGGGGGGACGGGAUCUUUGUGCNACANCCCCGGCGACUAGGAGUGUACGCCGCCNCAUCAUUGCCCACCUUGUGCAACGUAGGGACUUCCAGGUGAUACUNUCCUGGUUCGCUCCACCCCGCUUUCGCUCCUACCGCGUACGGAUACAUGGCCACAAGAAGUCCGGCCUUCGCCAGCCGGGUGUUCCUCCUGAUAUCUGCGCAUUUCACCGCUACACCAGGAAUUCCGAUCUCCCCUACCACACUCUAGCUAGCCCGUAUCGAAUGCAGACCCGGGGUUAAGCCCCGGGCUUUCACACCCGACGUGACAAGCCGCCUACAAGCUCUUUACGCCCAAUAAUUCCGGACAAUUCUUGCGCCCUACGUAUUACCGCGGCUGCUGGCACGUAGUUAGCCGGCGCUUCUUCUGCAGGUACCGUCACUUUCGCUUCUUCCCUGCUGAAAGAGGUUUACAACCCGAAGGCCGUCAUCCCUCACGCGGCGUCGCUGCAUCAGGCUUUCGCCCAUUGUGCAAUAUUCCCCACUGCUGCCUCCCGUAGGAGUCUGGGCCGUGUCUCAGUCCCAGUGUGGCCGGUCGCCCUCUCAGGCCGGCUACCCGUCGUCCCCUUGGUGAGCCAUUACCUCACCAACAAGCUGAUAGGCCGCGGGCUCAUCCUUCCCCGCCGGAGCUUUUCACCCCCNCCANAUGCCUUGCNGUAUUGGUAUCCCGGUUAUUAAACCCCCGUUUUCCAGGGCCUUGUCCCCAAAAUUUAAAGGGCCCAAUUGCCCCCCCUUUUUUAACUCCCCCCCGUUCCCCCCCCUAAUUCCCCCCCGCAAAAUUGUUUAUUUCGCUCCAAAUGUNCCUUUUUUUACCCCCCCCUCCACCCUUUUUCUUUCCAAACCCCAGGAAUACACACACCAAUUUUUUUCCCGGACG